CAGCGCCACGAGCGGCGAUCAGCAUUACUGGGCCUAAAGCGUCCGUAGCCGGUCUGGAAAAUUCUUUGUGAAAUCGUCGGGCUUAACUCGACGGCGUGCAGAGGACACUUCCAGACUAGAGACCGGUGAGGAGUCAGAGGAAUUCGAGGGGGAGCGGUAAAAUGCAAUAAUCCUUCGAAGACCACCUGUGGCGAAGGCGUCUGACUAGAACGGAUCCGACGGUGAGGGACGAAAGCCAGGGGAGCGAACCGGAUUAGAGACCCGAGUAGUCC
Molecule: ribosomal RNA, 272 nt
Filed under: uncultured archaeon
Lineage: Archaea
Description: partial 16S ribosomal RNA
Rfam family: Archaeal small subunit ribosomal RNA
Source: RNAcentral